This 1012-nucleotide ribosomal RNA is filed under the name Lema fortunei. RNAcentral's name for it is "SSU rRNA". It matches the Rfam family "Eukaryotic small subunit ribosomal RNA", at positions 44 to 998 of the family's 1831-position model. Lineage: Eukaryota; Metazoa; Arthropoda; Insecta; Coleoptera; Chrysomelidae. The record is from RNAcentral.
AUAAGCCAUGCAUGUCUCAGUACAAGCCAAAUUAAGGUGAAACCGCGAAAGGCUCAUUAAAUCAGUUAUGGUUCCUUAGAUCGUACCCACAUUUACUUGGAUAACUGUGGUAAUUCUAGAGCUAAUACAUGCAAACAGAGCUCCAACCGGAGACGGAAGGAGCGCUUUUAUUAGAUCAAAACCAAUCGGUGGCGAGCUUGCUCGUCAUCGUACAACUUGGUGACUCUGAAUAACUUUAAGCUGAUCGCACGGUCUCGCACCGGCGACGCAUCUUUCAAAUGUCUGCCUUAUCAACUGUCGAUGGUAGGUUCUGCGCCUACCAUGGUUGUAACGGGUAACGGGGAAUCAGGGUUCGAUUCCGGAGAGGGAGCCUGAGAAACGGCUACCACAUCCAAGGAAGGCAGCAGGCGCGCAAAUUACCCACUCCCGGCACGGGGAGGUAGUGACGAAAAAUAACGAUACGGGACUCAUCCGAGGCCCCGUAAUCGGAAUGAGUACACUCUAAACCCUUUAACGAGGAUCAAUUGGAGGGCAAGUCUGGUGCCAGCAGCCGCGGUAAUUCCAGCUCCAAUAGCGUAUAUUAAAGUUGUUGCGGUUAAAAAGCUCGUAGUCGAAUCUGUGUCCCGCGCCGCCGGUUCAUCGUUCGCGGUGUCAACUGGCGUGCCGCGGGACGUCCUGCCGGUGGGCUUAGCUCGCAAGGGCGGCCCAACUCAAUCCCGCCGCGGUGCUCUUCACUGAGUGUCGAGGUGGGCCGGCACGUUUACUUUGAACAAAUUAGAGUGCUUAAAGCAGGCUAAAACUUCGCCUGAAUACUGUGUGCAUGGAAUAAUGGAAUAGGACCUCGGUUCUAUUUUGUUGGUUUUCGGAACUCCGAGGUAAUGAUUAAUAGGAACGGAUGGGGGCAUUCGUAUUGCGACGUUAGAGGUGAAAUUCUUGGAUCGUCGCAAGACGGGACAGAAGCGAAAGCAUUUGCCAAAAACGCUUUCAUUGAUCAAGAACGAAGUUAGAGGUU